Long non-coding RNA from Nilaparvata lugens (brown planthopper), 521 nucleotides. RefSeq lists it as uncharacterized. The transcript has 2 exons. The record is from RefSeq and is a predicted model, not a curated record. Lineage: Eukaryota; Metazoa; Arthropoda; Insecta; Hemiptera; Delphacidae.
GAAAAAAUAACUGUUUCUAGACCUGCUAAGAGUUUAUAUGACAAUACAGUAGGCUACCUGUAUCAUGCGUAUUUCAAUGAUUCUUUUAAAAAAUCCGUUUUUAAAACCUAUUUUUUGGAUUUGGUUUUGAGGUGUCGUUCAAUCCUGAGUGAGGCAGGAGUCAGGUGUUAUAACGUGAAGCUUUAUAUGCAACCUAAAGCAUGCUAUAUAAUGCAAAACCUAUAACGAGAAAAAAAGAAAAGAUUGAUUAUUUAUUGAUUGAUACACUAAGUACAUUAUCAAAAUGAUAGAAGAAAAAAUAAGUCAACCUUGUGCUAUUCCUCUCCCAGAUUAGGUAAGGUUAGACACAUAGUCCAAAAUAGGUUAAGUCUUGUAGUUGUUCACUACAAGAUAAUAGGUAACUUAGAUGAUAGGUAGCCUAACGUGUAUUAUUCAAUAUUCUGACCAACUUUAUACUCCUCCAUCAACUCCUAAAAUGCAAUAGGCUACUUGUCCUAUUUCAAUAAACUCUAUUGAAAAAA